RNAcentral lists this ribosomal RNA (156 nucleotides) under Escherichia coli. Its description in RNAcentral is "partial 23S ribosomal RNA". It matches the Rfam family "Bacterial large subunit ribosomal RNA", at positions 1 to 157 of the family's 2925-position model. The record is from RNAcentral. Lineage: Bacteria; Pseudomonadati; Pseudomonadota; Gammaproteobacteria; Enterobacterales; Enterobacteriaceae.
GGUUAAGCGACUAAGCGUACACGGUGGAUGCCCUGGCAGUCAGAGGCGAUGAAGGACGUGCUAAUCUGCGAUAAGCGUCGGUGAGGUGAUAUGAACCGUUAUAACCGGCGAUUUCCGAAUGGGGAAACCCAGUGUGUUUCGACACACUAUCAUUAA